This 436-nucleotide ribosomal RNA is filed under the name uncultured bacterium. RNAcentral's name for it is "partial 16S ribosomal RNA". It matches the Rfam family "Bacterial small subunit ribosomal RNA", at positions 29 to 507 of the family's 1533-position model. The record is from RNAcentral.
AACGAACGCUGGCGGCAUGCCUAACACAUGCAAGUCGAACGAGAUCCUUCGGGGUCUAGUGGCGCACGGGUGCGUAACGCGUGGGAAUCUGCCCUUAGGUUCGGAAUAACAGUUAGAAAUGACCGCUAAUACCGGAUGAUGACGUUAAGUCCAAAGAUUUAUCGCCUGAGGAUGAGCCCGCGUAGGAUUAGCUAGUUGGUGUGGUAAAGGCGCACCAAGGCGACGAUCCUUAGCUGGUCUGAGAGGAUGAUCAGCCACACUGGGACUGAGACACGGCCCAGACUCCUACGGGAGGCAGCAGUGGGGAAUAUUGGACAAUGGGCGCAAGCCUGAUCCAGCAAUGCCGCGUGAGUGAUGAAGGCCUUAGGGUUGUAAAGCUCUUUUACCCGGGAUGAUAAUGACAGUACCGGGAGAAUAAGCCCCGGCUAACUCCGUG